GAGGACCUGCGCUCGCGGGGGCUGCUGCGCUCUGCGCUGGGGCCUCUCGGGCUGGGAAUGCGUGGCCCGGCUUUUGAGGAUUUCCUCGGUCCCCGGGCGGAAAUAGCUGGAAUGGAGGGGCCUCUCGAUUGGAGACUUACUGGUCAAAUAUUUACUUUUGUUGAUCACUGGAAACGCUACCUACCACGCAUUGACUAGGACCACAGUGAGGAGGGAACGCUUUAGAUGAUAGAGUUUUGUUUGGGGGCUUUUUUUUGUUUUGUUUUAUUCCAGGAAUUCAGGAAAUUGCCCCAGAAGUCCGAUUUCUGAUGUGUAAAACCUUUUUUUACAGAAAACCACGACUUCCUGGAAAAGUCUUCACCGUAAAUAUUAAUCUCUUUGGCAUGAAGAGGAAAACACUGCAGCUAAUUUUUCAUGGGAUAACAAAAAUAUAAACUGCAAUUUCUUUUAUUUUUUCCCUUUCGAUGGUCUUUUUAAACGAGGAGUAAAGAUUUCAACGCCAGGUCCAUUUUCCAAAUUUUGUACCAGAACCUUGAGGAUGCUUGUCUCUCGCGCGCUUCUCCGCAGACCGAACCCUCUCCGGAACUCAGAGCUGUUCACCCAAGUCAGCGGAGGAGGCCUCCUGGGACUUGAGCCUGAGGGUGGCGAAGAACCCUAGGCAGAGAUCAUCAACUUGGUACCGAUGAGUGACGCGGAGCUUGAACAUUCCAGCGACUUGCUCCAGGGCCACUCCCAGUUAAGAGGCUGAGUGUUAACUGCAAGAGGCUGAGUGUUAACUACGCCGUUGGCUCCAGGAACCGAACCGGGUUUGGAUACAGACCCAGUCACACCAUCCAUGAAAAGCUGUUUCUAUAAUAUGAAAAAUUGUUAAAUGACGCUUUAGUAAAAGCCAUUUAAAGAUCUUUUCUAAUAAAUUUUUCAUCUUUCCAAACAAUGCCGCUAAUUACCUUCUGAUACAGUGCGUUUCCAAAAUGUUUAUGAACUGAAAACAAAAAUAAAAAACUACAUUUUUAUGUUGUAAAGGGAGUGGGGGGGACUUUCUAAAAUUUGUCGUAUUAUAGCACUUCUCAUGACAACUUGACCCUUUAGGCAUAAUUUUUGACAAAAUGUCUUGUUCUUUUUCUUUUUACAGCUGAACGUCUUAAAUUCAAGGAGUAAACACAUAUAAUGAGAUAAAAGUUUAUCACUGUUAGCACAACCAAUAAUUUGCAUCGUAGUCUCAAUUUCCUCGAAUCUUUAAUAAAACCAAAGUGGUCAAGUGUUUAAAUGAUUAUA
Molecule: long non-coding RNA, 1275 nt
Filed under: Homo sapiens (human)
Lineage: Eukaryota; Metazoa; Chordata; Mammalia; Primates; Hominidae
Description: HSALNT0332189
Source: RNAcentral